Molecule: ribosomal RNA, 156 nt
Filed under: Gleimia coleocanis DSM 15436
Lineage: Bacteria; Bacillati; Actinomycetota; Actinomycetes; Actinomycetales; Actinomycetaceae
Source: RNAcentral
ACGGGCAUUCGGUGGAUGCCUUGGCACCUUGAGCUGAUGAAGGACGUAGCGGCCUGCGAUAAUCCUCGGGGAGUUGGCGAGCGAGCUUUGAUCCGGGGGUUUCCGAAUGGGGGAACCUAGCCAGGUUUGUUUCUGGUUACCAUCACUUGAAUAUAU